GACGAACGCUGGCGGCGUGCUUAACACAUGCAAGUCGAACGGAAAGGCCCUGCUUUUGUGGGGUGCUCGAGUGGCGAACGGGUGAGUAACACGUGAGUAACCUGCCCUUGACUUUGGGAUAACUUCAGGAAACUGGGGCUAAUACCGGAUAGGAGCUCCUGCUGCAUGGUGGGGGUUGGAAAGUUUCGGCGGUUGGGGAUGGACUCGCGGCUUAUCAGCUUGUUGGUGGGGUAGUGGCUUACCAAGGCUUUGACGGGUAGCCGGCCUGAGAGGGUGACCGGCCACAAUGGGACUGAGAGACGGCGCAGACGCCUACGGGAGGCAGCAGUGGGGAGUAUUGCACAGUGGGCGGGAGCCUGAUGCAGCGGCGCCGCGUGCGGGAUGACGGCCUUCGGGUUGUGAACCGCUUUCGCCUGUGACGAAGCGUGAGUGACGGUAAUGGGUAAAGAAGCACCGGCUAACUACGUG
Molecule: ribosomal RNA, 468 nt
Filed under: uncultured bacterium
Lineage: Bacteria
Description: partial 16S ribosomal RNA
Rfam family: Bacterial small subunit ribosomal RNA
Source: RNAcentral